Nelumbo nucifera (sacred lotus) is the source of this 991-nucleotide long non-coding RNA. RefSeq lists it as uncharacterized. Lineage: Eukaryota; Viridiplantae; Streptophyta; Magnoliopsida; Proteales; Nelumbonaceae. The record is from RefSeq and is a predicted model, not a curated record.
AACUGUUACGAGACUAAUCGCGUGUGCCCGUGCAAUACUCGAAUGUUACGAGGAGAUUUUAUCYUUAACAUAGGUUUUUGGGGAAUGACAAAGGAAACAUUAUAAUAAUGCCAUUGACAAUCUUACGAGAAGAUUGCAUAUCGACACCGACGAUUAAAAGACAGCACACAUGAUACAGAAUGAAGGACAUGUAGCAAUUCGAAUUUUAUAAGACCGUUGUAAGAAUCGUGGUCGUUAUUCUGCAAUCCUUCACACGCUCUAUCCUCGCAUGCAAUUCAUUUUUUUAACGGUCUGAAAAGAUCAUCGAGUAAUUUCUAUACCAGAGUUGGUGUUUUCCCCUCUCACUAUAUAUAGUUCGGGGCAAGAGUAAGAAGAGUUCUCGCUUCGGAGAAGAGCGAUGGGAGAGGGGGUGAGAGAGGGUUUCAGAUUUUGCCUCUUUUUGUAAACAAUCUCUGUUCUUAUUUUAUCUGGGAUUCUGCGAAGGAUUCGCUCGUUUUCAAGGGCUUUUAGGGUUCUUGCUCUCGAUAAUUUCCGUAAUUAUUAAUGCGGAGGAAACGAUUGAUUACUGGAUUUUCGUGUUUGUGUGGGUAAACUUAGCAUAUAUUUUUUGAAAUGUUUUCGCCCACAGUUUAGGUUUUGAUUGAAGAUAUGGACUCGGAAGAUGCCGAUCUUUUGGAUGACGGAGGCGGUGGAGGGCUAUCGCUGGUGGUGCAUCGUCGGUUUCAUGCUAUGCUCGAUUUGCCUCGAGGCCGUAACGGACAGCGGGGAUAGAUCGAGGGGCGAAGCUGCAAUGCGGGCAUGAAUUUUAUCUCGCUAUUUGGAGUUCAUUGGUGUCCUUUUAGUGGAUUCGCUUGAGUUCUUCCUUCAUCUUUUGGGUAAGCAUGAUCUGCUUGUUGUAAGCUUAUAUUUGGUUAUUUUAUGCUAUACUACUUUUAAGAUGAAUGUGUGUAAACAACCCUGACUGGAACCAAGGAUUUAAAUAUUGACACAA